This is a non-coding RNA of Arachis ipaensis, 777 nucleotides long. The record is from RefSeq and is a predicted model, not a curated record. Lineage: Eukaryota; Viridiplantae; Streptophyta; Magnoliopsida; Fabales; Fabaceae.
UCUAAAUGGACCUAAAUCUACUAUAUAAAUACUCCACCUUAACACAAAAAACACCAUUCACUCUACAUUGAGAGAGUGAGGAACGCUCACGAAGAGAGAAGAGAGCAAAAAAAAACUAGUGACACUAUUUACUUUCAAUUUCAUUUGCUCAUAACUUUUGAUUUGGAAUUCUGAUUGACGAGUUGUUUAUGGCCAUGCAUUCGUCUCAAAAUUCUCUUUGAUUCUAUCUAAACAAAAUGUGGUGCUCUAGUAUGAGCUAUUACCGAGUUUCAUCCCCGUGAGCAAUGGAUUAAGAGUUGUUGGGUGAUUUGGUGCAUUUCAAAAACUUGGAUCGAUCUUGGAGUUGUUGAUUGAGACUCGAUUGGUGUUGGACGAGUUUGGUUUGGUCGGAAAGGAAAGAAAAUCAAAAGUUUGGAAACCGCCGUCAUUAAGGUAUCGGACGUGACGGACCUCAAUGAGCGUACAAGAUCUGCUUUUGGGAAGCGAAGAUUUCCUUUGAGAUUUAUUUUCUGCACUUAGAUUUUAUAUGUGUUUUCCACUUUUGUAUUUUUCUUGUAUUUUUCUCUUAAAGGUUAUUUUAGAUAAACAUGAUUUAUGUUUAUAUUUACUUUUGGGGAUAUAUAUAUAUACUCUAGUCAGCCUCUACUUGGCAGGUCGAGACUUGAGACUUGAUAUGUAUCUCCUUUAGAAUUCUUAUAUAUAUAUUUCUUUGUCUCGUUCAUUCUUGUUCACCGACCGUUUUUGCUCACCGACACUUGCGAUCUUUAACGUUUUUAA